CUCAAAAACCUUUGUAGUCUAAAUUAGAUUUAAACACAGUCAUCUGAAUAGCUAGAUACUGUUAGAGGAAGAAAUAUGGAACAAAUACUAAAUGUAUAUAUAUGUAUAUAUAAAUAUUUUCCAUUUGAAAUGGGUUACUUGUUAGGUAAACUAAAUAGUUGAAAUGUAACUUUAAUUUUGAUUGAGCUCUAGAUCUGUGCAGGUGAGCAGCCAAUCGAGCGUAAUUAGGUCAAGCUGACUCCGCCCACCGAGAGAUGCGGCAUUAGAGAGAGAGAGAAAAAAACUUGAGAAACAACGUGAAUUAGAAGCUGCGUAAGAUCUUGAUUUAUUUCAUUUGAGAGAGAACGCAUGUGAAAACCAAACAUUUGGAGUAGGCCAUCAUUGCGUCAUCCGAGAGAAACCUGGAAAAAAAACAGAGAAAUAUCAUUAAUACACGAGGGAAUCGGCCAGUUUUGUUAUUUUAGAAAUCUAGAAUCUGGAUUUUUUUCAAUUCAUGAAGAUGGCGAGCCAACCGUAAAUCGAUCAGAAACAACUAUCCUUUGUCUUUUUGGACAUCUGUAUCACUUCACUUUCGGCAGGACAUCGCGUCGGAUUUUUUUCUUUUGAGGUUUGAAACAUCUGACAUUUUCAUUUUUCCUUUUGAGCAUUGGAUCACUGAUUUAAAGGAACUGAGGAGACAAUAUCAUUCUUUAUUGUUCAGACUGACAUUUUGUUUGAACUGUGCAUUCAAGAAUUACUGAUACUGCAUUGAUACGCAUUCAUUUAGACUUUGUUUCGUAUAAACAAGUGUUUACAGUGGACAUUUGUACGUGUGACUAAACACAAGUCCUGACAUUCGUGUUUAUUUUAUAUUUACUGAUCUUGAGUAUACAUUUGAGUUGUGUACAUAAAAAAGGAGAUCAGAAAUUGAAUGUUUAUUACAAUUUAAUUUGCAUUGGAGAGAAGAAUUUUCUAUGUCAAGGGUUAAAUUUCAAAUUCAUUUAGCUUAAUUGGUAAAAAGUAAUAUUUAAAGCAGAUUUAAUAUUUCUUUUUUUGGUUUUAUUUUUUUUUGUUUGUUCUUGUUAUUUUUGCCCUUUAUGCAGUGUCAUUGAUAUUUUUUUUUCCCAACCAGUGUAUCCUAUCAAUCGCGCUUACAAGUAAAUUUUAUCCAAUAUAAAGGUGCGCAUUUACAUCUAUGUGUGUGUGUGUGUCUUGCCUCUUACGAGUUUCAGUCUCUUCUGAUUUGGUCCUGAUUUGCGAAUUACAGUUUACCUACAAUAACUGUUAAACCUUAGUGAGUUAUUGUUUUCCCUAAUAUAUGAGUUAACCCCUCUGUUUCAUUUUACAAGACAAGGGUUACACUCAUUUGUGGCGAGCCAGC
This is a long non-coding RNA of Carassius auratus (goldfish), 1360 nucleotides long. RefSeq lists it as uncharacterized. Lineage: Eukaryota; Metazoa; Chordata; Actinopteri; Cypriniformes; Cyprinidae. The transcript has 3 exons. The record is from RefSeq and is a predicted model, not a curated record.